AGGGUAGUGUGAGCAUUACAGCUGCAUGUUGAAAUUGACCAAACUGUCCCUUUAAGGCAGGCUUACAGGCCGAACACAAAGAGCCGCCUAGUACACCCUUGAUGACGUAUCCGGCCAGAUGGUAUAGCACACAGGACUCCGCUUUUGUGGAAAUGAUUCUGCUCCUACUGCAUGAGACUGCUGCUGUUGAUGGGGAAGUGCUUUUGCCAGAAAUGGCUUAGUUGCAGGUGGUGGCUUUCUUGAGUUGCACUGAUAAGGUUGAUGCUUUCAAUGCAUUGGAAGUUCCAGCAUGUUCCAGUGAAUUCCAAUUCUUCAUGCAUUAUUGAUUUCACACACACACACACACACACACACACACACACACACACACACACACACACACACACACACACACACACACACACACACACACACACACACACACACACGUCUUGUCAUGUACACAGACAUGCCGUUUUAUUCAUAGUUAUUUUGUUUGGGCUGUUUAUGUUUCUAUUUGGAGUAUUUUUUUUAUUUCAAAUAAAAGAUUGAACCAUUCAAGCACAGGUUGUACAGCUGUGGGUUAUUUACUUCAUGUUCAUUGCAUCAUGUUCAUGUUCAUUUGCAUCCUGCAUUGAGUGGUUUGACAGGUCUGAUGAUGACCAGCAUCAUAAAGGCUGAAAUUAACAAAUGCUAUAUUACUGUAGGCCUACAACUGGGACAUGCUGGGUUUAUGUAUUUAUCUUUUUAUGUAUUGGAAGUAUUUUAUCCA
Molecule: long non-coding RNA, 751 nt
Organism: Engraulis encrasicolus (European anchovy)
Lineage: Eukaryota; Metazoa; Chordata; Actinopteri; Clupeiformes; Engraulidae
Exons: 3
Source: RefSeq, a predicted model, not a curated record